GGAGAGAUAGAUCCAAUUUGUAUGGAAAUCCAUCUCUGGAGGAGGGCAUGUGAAGUAAGUCUUCACUUACCUAGAGAUCCUGGGGAGUUUAGAUUUUAUAGGUAAGAGUGGAUACCUAUCACCUGAGAGGAUGCGCACCCUUUCCCACUCGAGGGCCGCAGAGGCAUGCUUGAGUUGUUAGGGGAUAACGACUUGCACGUUUGGAGUUUGUUGGGAUUAUAGAUCUCAACAAUUGGAGGA
RNAcentral lists this long non-coding RNA (240 nucleotides) under Elaeis guineensis (African oil palm). RNAcentral's name for it is "long non-coding RNA (EGUI_LNC036846)". The record is from RNAcentral. Lineage: Eukaryota; Viridiplantae; Streptophyta; Magnoliopsida; Arecales; Arecaceae.